GCUGGUACUGUAGCGAUCAUACUGUAGCACCAAUACUGUAGCGCUAGUACUGUAGUGCCGGCACUGUAGCAGUACUGGGGAGAUAAAAAUCCAAAGAUAAGGGGAGAUAGAACACCAAAAGAAAAAGACACCUAUGGAAGAAAGUGAGACUUGUGGUGGAUAAUGGCUAUGGAUCGAUAUUCCCAAAUAAGGGUUCCUACUUG
This 203-nucleotide long non-coding RNA is filed under the name Ananas comosus (pineapple). RNAcentral's name for it is "long non-coding RNA (ACOM_LNC021259)". Lineage: Eukaryota; Viridiplantae; Streptophyta; Magnoliopsida; Poales; Bromeliaceae. The record is from RNAcentral.